CAGUCGAACGGUGAAGGAGAGCUUGCUCUUUGGAUCAGUGGCGAACGGGUGAGUAACACGUGAGCAAUCUGCCCUUGACUCUGGGAUAACUGCGGGAAACUGUAGCUAAUACCGGAUACGACCUGGAGAGGCAUCUUUUUGGGUGGAAAGAAUUUUGGUCAAGGAUGAGCUCGCGGCCUAUCAGCUUGUUGGUGAGGUAAUGGCUCACCAAGGCGACGACGGGUAGCCGGCCUGAGAGGGUGACCGGCCACACUGGGACUGAGACACGGCCCAGACUCCUACGGGAGGCAGCAGUGGGGAAUAUUGCACAAUGGGCGCAAGCCUGAUGCAGCAACGCCGCGUGAGGGACGAAGGCCUUCGGGUUGUAAACCUCUUUUAGUAGGGAAGAAGCGACUGGGUUUUCCUGGGAGUGACGGUACCUGCAGAAAAAGCACCGGCUAACUACGUGCCAGCAGCCGCGGUAAUACGUAGGGUGCAAGCGUUGUCCGGAAUUAUUGGGCGUAAAGAGCUCGUAGGCGGUUUGUCGCGUCUGCUGUGAAAACCCGAGGCUCAACCUCGGGCCUGCAGUGGGUACGGGCAGACUAGAGUGCGGUAGGGGAGAUUGGAAUUCCUGGUGUAGCGGUGGAAUGCGCAGAUAUCAGGAGGAACACCAAUGGCGAAGGCAGAUCUCUGGGCCGUAACUGACGCUGAGGAGCGAAAGCAUGGGGAGCGAACAGGAUUAGAUACCCUGGUAGUCCAUGC
RNAcentral lists this ribosomal RNA (741 nucleotides) under Cryobacterium sp. Y4_622_2. RNAcentral describes it as "bacterial SSU rRNA". It matches the Rfam family "Bacterial small subunit ribosomal RNA", at positions 59 to 800 of the family's 1533-position model. Lineage: Bacteria; Bacillati; Actinomycetota; Actinomycetes; Micrococcales; Microbacteriaceae. The record is from RNAcentral.